CCUACGGGUGGCUGCAGUGAGGAAUAUUGGUCAAUGGACGAGAGUCUGAACCAGCCAAGUAGCGUGAAGGAUGACUGCCCUAUGGGUUGUAAACUUCUUUUAUAUGGGAAUAAAAUGUUCCACGUGUGGGAUUUUGUAUGUACCAUAUGAAUAAGGAUCGGCUAACUCCGUGCCAGCAGCCGCGGUAAUACGGAGGAUCCGAGCGUUAUCCGGAUUUAUUGGGUUUAAAGGGAGCGUAGGUGGAUUGUUAAGUCAGUUGUGAAAGUUUGCGGCUCAACCUGUGUAUUGCACUUGAUACUUGCAGUCUGGAAUGCGGUAGAGGUAAAGGGAAUUCCUGGUGUAGCGGUGAAAUGCUUAGAUAUCAGGAGGAACAUCGGUGGCGUAAGCGCUUUACUGAGCCGUAAUUGACGCUGAGGAACGAAAGCCAGGGUAGCAAAUAGGAUUAGAUACCCUGGUAGUC
This 460-nucleotide ribosomal RNA is filed under the name uncultured bacterium. RNAcentral's name for it is "partial 16S ribosomal RNA". It matches the Rfam family "Bacterial small subunit ribosomal RNA", at positions 338 to 795 of the family's 1533-position model. The record is from RNAcentral.